This 496-nucleotide ribosomal RNA is filed under the name uncultured bacterium. Its description in RNAcentral is "partial 16S ribosomal RNA". It matches the Rfam family "Bacterial small subunit ribosomal RNA", at positions 28 to 507 of the family's 1533-position model. The record is from RNAcentral.
GAUGAACGCUGGCGGCGUGCCUAAUACAUGCAAGUCGAGCGAACGGACGAGAAGCUUGCUUCUCUGAUGUUAGCGGCGGACGGGUGAGUAACACGUGGAUAACCUACCUAUAGACUGGGAUAACUUCGGGAAACCGGAGCUAAUACCGGAUGAUAUUUUGAACCGCAUGGUUCAAAAGUGAAAGACGGUCUUGCUGUCACUUAUAGAUGGAUCCGCGCUGCAUUAGCUAGUUGGUAAGGUAACGGCUUACCAAGGCAACGAUGCAUAGCCGACCUGAGAGGGUGAUCGGCCACACUGGAACUGAGACACGGUCCAGACUCCUACGGGAGGCAGCAGUAGGGAAUCUUCCGCAAAGGGCGAAAGCCUGACGGAGCAACGCCGCGUGAGUGAUGAAGGUCUUCGGAUCGUAAAACUCUGUUAUUAGGGAAGAACAUAUGUGUAAGUAACUGUGCACAUCUUGACGGUACCUAAUCAGAAAGCCACGGCUAACUACGUG